Molecule: ribosomal RNA, 457 nt
Filed under: uncultured microorganism
Description: bacterial SSU rRNA
Rfam family: Bacterial small subunit ribosomal RNA
Source: RNAcentral
GAGUUUGAUCCUGGCUCAGAGCGAACGCUGGCGGCAGGCUUAACACAUGCAAGUCGAGCGGGCGUAGCAAUACGUCAGCGGCAGACGGGUGAGUAACACGUGGGAACGUACCUUUUGGUUCGGAACAACUGAGGGAAACUUCAGCUAAUACCGGAUAAGCCCUAACGGGGAAAGAUUUAUCGCCGAAAGAUCGGCCCGCGUCUGAUUAGCUAGUUGGUGAGGUAAUGGCUCACCAAGGCGACGAUCAGUAGCUGGUCUGAGAGGAUGAUCAGCCACACUGGGACUGAGACACGGCCCAGACUCCUACGGGAGGCAGCAGUGGGGAAUAUUGGACAAUGGGGGCAACCCUGAUCCAGCCAUGCCGCGUGAGUGAUGAAGGCCCUAGGGUUGUAAAGCUCUUUGUGCGGGAAGAUAAUGACGGUACCGCAAGAAUAAGCCCCGACUAACUUCGUGCCAG